Passer domesticus (house sparrow) is the source of this 2258-nucleotide long non-coding RNA. RefSeq lists it as uncharacterized. NCBI's taxonomy places the organism in Eukaryota, Metazoa, Chordata, Aves, Passeriformes, Passeridae. The transcript has 3 exons. The record is from RefSeq and is a predicted model, not a curated record.
ACUAUGUAACUAGUUCUAGUUUUCCAAGCUCAGAACCAGAAGAUUUCACAGUUUAUUUUUUUCUCCCCCCCAUUUAUAGACUAUUUAGAUGAGCUCACAGUUAUGUGACAGAAGUUAGUGUUUGGUUUUUUUCUUCAGCUAGAGUUGCUUGCUUGAACACCAUUAUUCAUGUGAAUAAAAGGAGUGUUUAGGAACUGGCAAUCUUAAAGCCAUAUGGAUAAGUGCAGGUAUGAAGUUCUGCAAAACAGAAGAAUGUCCAUGGUGAAACACUCUCCCUCAAUUAGUUCCAUUUUUUAUAGCUACCAUUCCUGCUCACCGUGCAUAUAACUAAUGGACGCAAAGACAGUAAAAUCCGGGUAACUCAAGUGGGAAGAGAAUAUAGGAAGACUCUAGUCUGACUUCCUUCUUGAUACACGGCAUCUCUGGGGUUCAAAGACAUUUCUGUCCAGUUGAGUCUUGAAUCUCUCUGGGAAACCUUCUACACUUCACAGUGGUCUUCAAGACAUCAAGCCCUGGUCCCUCAGUUGUCCCUCCAAGGGCAAGUGCUCCAUUCUGUUCUGAUGGUCUUCUGUUGAACUCACUCCACUUUAAUGAUGUCUAUCCUAUUCUGAGGAACACGAAACUGGAUGCAGUAAUAUUGGUGUGACCUAACAAGUGUGGAGUAAAGGGGAUGAUAAUCACUUCCUUGGACCUGCUGUCUGUGAUGCCGUUAACAAGUCUGUAUGUUGUUGCCAUUUCUGCUGUCAGGACACCUUGCUGGCUCCAGUCACUCUCCUCAGGGACAUUUUCCCAAAGCUUAUCCCUGGGUUGUCUGUAUCACUGUUGAAUUUCCUGAUGCUCCUGUUGGUCUAUUCCUACAGUCUGUCACAAUUUCUGUGGCUGACAGGCCCCAGGCUUAUAUUGCCUGGUCACUGCACUUUAUAGUCAAAAGAAAGCUUCAUGAGAAGUGAAUUGUGUUUUCACCAGGUACUUGAUGAAGAUUUUGAACAAGAUAGAUUGAUGUUUCCCAAAACACUUCUAGAGUUUAAGUGUUAGUAUUCUAAAAUAUUUUGUAAAUAGAUGGAAUUACUUUGUAUAAAGCAGUCUACUUUCAUGCACAGUGAUGUCUGAAAUUUAUAAAUAUGCACAUGUUUAAAUGGAAAAUCCCUAAUAUAACUUAAUGAAUCAUAACAUUUUGAUUUGGAGCACGCAAACAUAAGUAGCUUAAUUCAAACUAAGAAAACUAUGAAAAGCAUGUUAAGCAUUCCUAAGAGAUGUUCAGAAUGUAAUGAUGCACCAUUCAGACAAGUCAGCAUUAAAGCUAAAGUCUUUGAAAUGAAAAUCUGGAAAAGCAUUUUGGGUCAUUUGUCAAGAUUCUUUACAUAUUACACAGCUGUUGUAAUUUCCCAGCUUUAAUGGCAAUAUGCUGGUGAAAGGAAAAUUGUUUUUAAGAAGAACUAAGAAGAGAAGAAAGGAAGAAAACAAGACAUGAAUAAAAUAAUUCUUCAGUUUAAUCCAAGAAUUAAAUUGUAUUCCUCCUACUUACUACCCUCUAGAUUCCUGAAACUUUGACAGCAUGAUGUCCUCAGCUGUGUAAUUGCAUCUCACUGCGUGGACUGGUGCUGGUAGCAAAUCCUUAAAUCAUAAUAAAUCUUUGAAAGACUUUUUUUCUUUAUUCCAGAUGGAAAAUAUACACUCCACUUGGUAGAUUUCCUCUGUUUAAAUCUGACACUUGAGCAUCUGUAAUAUUCAGCAUUCUUUGAAUAUCUGAACACAUUUUUGUUGAUAUAGUCAAUUGGCAUAGUCUUACUGUGUUGCCAGAAGGCAACAUGGGCAUCAACAUUAAGGCAUCAACUACAUCCUGCUACAUCAGAGACCUGUAAAUUAUAUAAAUAGAUUUCAGUUCCACACAAUGCUCCUAAAUCAUUGAGGGAUUUUUGGAUUUCAAAUGUAAAACAAUUUUAAAAAAGCCCUCUGUAAAUCAGGAAGUACGAAAUGGUUCGUUAUUUUCACAUAGAAAAUAAGGGUCUUAAGCUACUAAAUAUUAUAGUUUAAUCUCUAAGAUUGUACUUCUGAGUUUGCAAGUGCAAAUGCAUUUUUACUUUUUUAAAAAAUAUAUUUACACCAGAUACUUGAGUUUAGAUUUCUCUGCUCAGCUACAUGCUUUUAGUAAAUUGGCCACAUUAGGCUCCCUUUGAAAAUAGUAGAAAGAUUAAUUAUUUUAAAUUAUAUCUGCUUUUACAGUAGUCUUACAUAACGAGUGGUUCAGAAACACUUAU